AUGAAUUGGGGUUUGCUAAAGGAAGAUAUUGUUCGUGCAGUUCAACAAUUCUUUAUAUCGGGAUGUAUGCCGGAGGGGAUAAAUAAUACAACUAUUGUGCUUAUUCCGAAAGUGAAGAACCCCCAGUCGAUAAAAGACUUUCGGUCAAUCAGUCUAUGCAAUGUCAUAUAUAAAAUUAUCUCCAAGUGUCUUGUCAACAGACUGAGACCUCAGUUGGACGGUAUGAUUUCUCCAACCCAAAGUGUGUUCAUCCCUGGAAGAUUAAUUUCUGAUAAUGCUCUUAUAGCUUUUGAAUGUAUGCAUUCGUUGAGUACGCUAAAAGACAGCCGAGGUGAAUAUUGUGCGUACAAGCUGGACCUAGCCAAGGCAUAUGAUCGUGUAGACUGGAGGUUCUUGGAAAGUAUGCUUCGGGCAUAUGGUUUUGCUCCAGUGUGGGUUAAGUGGAUUAUGAUCUGUGUGACGUCAGUGAAAUUUUCUGUGCGGUUUAAUGGUCAGUUGUUAGAUUCGUUCCAACCUUCUUGUGGCCUCAGGCAAGGGGAUCCUCUAUCUCCUUACCUUUUCCUAUUUGUGGCUGAGGCUCUGUCGUUGUUACUCCAUGAUGCUACGGCGAAAGGGGUUAUUCAGGAUUUUCGGCUGAUCAGACAUGCUCCAGGGGUCUCACAUUUAUUAUUUGCGGAUGAUAGCCUCCUAUUUUUUAAGGGUUCUUUGGAGCAAGCUCUGGUCAUUAAACGGAUUCUGGUUGCUUAUGAGGAGGGGACGGGUCAAUUGCUAAGUCCGGAUAAAUGCUCCAUUUUGUUUGGUAAAAAGUGUAGCCUGGAAGAUCAAGUUUCUAUCUUGGUGGUUCUCAAAAUCACCUCUGAUGGUUUUGAGGAUAAAUAUCUUGGUUUACCUGUGCCGGAAGGGCGGAUGAAGGCUGGUAAAUUCCAAUCUACAAAAGAUAAAGCGCUUAAGCGGGUUUCAGACUGGAUAGAAAAAUAUGCUUCUAGUGGUGUGAAGGAGCUCCAGAUUAAGUCAGUCAUUCAGUCUCUUCCGGUCUAUGCCAUGGGGAUUUUUAAAUUUCCUGCUUCUAUUUGUGAAGAGUUAUCCCAAAUUAUUAGGAAUUUUUGGUGGGGUGACCAGGAGGAUAGGAAGAAAACUCAUUGGCUAGUAUGGGAUAAGUUGACAAGACCCAAAGGAGAAGGAGGUAUGGGCUUUAGAGAUUUGAGAUUAUUUAAUCAAGCGCUUUUGGCGAAACAGGCUUGGCGUUUAUUGGUCUUUCCGGACUCGUUAUGUGCAAAGGUGAUGAAAGCAAAGUAUUAUCCUCAUGGGCAUUUGCUAGACACUGUAUUCCCUCAGGUGACAUCGACUACUUGGCAAGGUAUUAUGCAUGGUCUUGAGCUGCUGAAAAAGGGGGUCAUUUGGAGAGUUCGCGACGGUGCAAAUAUAAAUAUUUGGAGAGACAAUUGGCUUCCUAGAGAUUCGGGGCUUCAAAUUUCAGCAAAAAGGAACAGAACCGGACUCAAAUGUGUGUCUGAAUUAUUCAUUAGUGGCUCAACAAGAUGGGAUGAGAAUCUUAUUCGGCAUCUGUUCUUUCCACAUGAUGCGGACGAAAUUUUGAAGUUACGUGUUCUGACUGUCGGUGAUGGAGAUUUCAUUGCUUGGCACUACGAAAAAAAUGGUUUAUUCUCAGUUAAAAGUGCGUAUAAGUUGGCGCUCAAACUUAAGGACUCCAUGAUUGAGUUAGGGAGUUCAAGUGGUGCUGCUAAUGGGGAAAGGAGGCUAUGGAAUAUUAUUUGGAAGGCUCAGAUCCCUCAGAAAAUCAGAAUUUUUGCAUGGCGUGCUGCGACACAAAGUUUGGCGGUUCAAGUUAACAGAGUUAAACACCACCAAACUACCAUUGGUCUGUGCUCGAUUUGUGGCGUAGAAGAUGAAUCUGUAUUUCAUGCACUGGUAAGCUGUCCUAAGGCUCGUGCGUUACGUCUGGCGGUAAGGGAGGUGUGGAAUUUACCAGAUGAAGUGGUUUUCAAUUUUACGGGGCCGGAUUGGUUACUUGUCUUAUUGGAUCAAGUAAGGCCGCCGGUGCGUGAGCAAAUUAUAUUCAUGUUUUGGAGGGCUUGGCAUCUGAGGAAUGAUUUGAUUUUUGGUAAGGGAAAGGAAAAAAUCUCUGACUCGGUGAGGUUCAUUCAGAAUUACUGGACGUCCUUCUCGUCCUGUCAUCCCAUUGUCAAGAUGGAGAUUAGCAUCAAAGGUAAAGAGAGGGUGGAUGGCUUAAAUUUUACUAAUGAUAUGCGAAAGAAUCUUGUGACUUGGCAGGCUCCCGCUACGGAGAUCAUUAAGAUUAAUGUUGAUGCAAGUUUUGUGGAGGCUUUAAGGGCUGCAAGUGUGGGCGUCGUGGCCAGGAACCAUACUGGAGAAGUUAUCAUAUCGUCCUGGGAUUAUAUUGGGGUGUGCAAUAGCGCGGAAGAAGCGGAACUGAGAGCGACCCUUGCGGGGCUAUACAUUGGUAUUACUCUCCACAAGGCCAUCAUUUUAGAAACGGAUUGUUCUUUUGUGGCUUCUUUCCUUCGAAAUGAUCUUCUAGACAGGUCUCCUCUGGUGGAUCUAAAGAUAGAAGCUUUGAGUUUAGCCAAAAUGAUGAUAAAUUGCAAGAUACCCGAGAUUAAAAGAACGGCUAAUAGGGUGGCGCACGAGAUUGCGAAGUUCAGCUUUGAUAAUAAGUCCGAUGGUGUGCUCCUUAAUAGUGUUCCGCCCUGCGUGGCUGAUUUUGUAACGGAUGAUUGUAUGAAUAUUUUAAGUUAA
Molecule: ribosomal RNA, 2778 nt
Filed under: Triticum aestivum (bread wheat)
Lineage: Eukaryota; Viridiplantae; Streptophyta; Magnoliopsida; Poales; Poaceae
Description: partial small subunit ribosomal RNA
Source: RNAcentral